AAUGGAUCCAGGCCCCCUCUGGGCGACCCAACCAAUCUAUUCACGGAGAGCCUGAGCGGCGCACAGCGCAACAGCAACCAGAAGUAUCAUCCCACCCACGCGGACCAAACCCUCCUCCAAGCUGAAGGAAGGCACGCCAAGCCCAAGCCGAACCGACCCGCCCCCCUAAAAUCCCAAUCCCUUCUCCCGUCCGUCUUCCCUUCUCCAUCCCCUCCCUUCCUCAACGAACGAACGAAUCCAAUCCCCCUCGCCCACGCAUCUCGCCCCUCCUUUCCCCUCCCCCGCAAGCAACGACGGGCAGAGAGCGGCGCGGGGAUCGCCGGCGGCGCCGAUGAGGUCGACGGACUCCUCGUCGCGGUUCGUGCAGGAGCUGGUGCUGUACGCGGCGAGCGCGGCGCUCAGCUGCCUCGUCCUCUUCGCCGGCCUCCGCCAGCUCGACCCCAACCGCGAGUCCUCCAAGAAGGCGCUCCAGCACAAGAAGGAGAUCGCCAAGCGCCUCGGCAGGCCCCUCAUCUCCACCACCCCCUACGAGGAUGUGAUUGCGUGCGACGUCAUCAACCCCGACGAGAUCGACGUCGAGUUCGAGUCCGUCGGCGGCCUCGACGAGGUCAAGCAGGCGCUCUACGAGCUCGUCAUCCUGCCCCUGCGCCGCCCCGAGCUCUUCGCCUACGGCAAGCUCCUCAGCCCGCAGAAGGGGGUGCUCCUCUACGGCCCGCCCGGGACCGGCAAGACCAUGCUGGCCAAAGCCAUCGCCAAGGAGUCGGGCGCCGUCUUCAUCAACGUCAGGAUAUCCAAUCUCAUGAGCAAGUGGUUCGGCGACGCCCAGAAGCUCGUGUCUGCCGUAUUUAGUCUCGCCAACAAGCUUCAGCCCGCCAUUAUCUUCAUCGAUGAGGUUGAUAGUUUCUUGGGACAGCGCCGGAACACAGACCAUGAAGCUUUGACUAAUAUGAAGACAGAGUUCAUGUCUCUUUGGGACGGUUUCACCACCGAUCAGAAUGCUCGUGUGAUGGUGCUUGCUGCUACAAACAGACCUUCUGAGCUAGAUGAGGCCAUCCUCAGGCGCUUCACGCAGAUAUUUGAAAUUGGGGUUCCUGCUCGCAGUGAAAGAAGCAAGAUACUUGAGGUUAUAUUGAAGGGAGAAAAUAUCGAGUCUAACAUUGAUUAUGAUUACAUUGCCAGUUUGUGUGAGGGCUUUACUGGGUCAGACAUCCUAGAACUGUGCAAGCAGGCUGCAUUCUAUCCUAUCAGGGAGAUUUUGAACAGCGAGAAAGAUGGGACAAGAGCAAAUAGUCCAAGACCCUUGAGGCAAUCGGACCUGGAGAAAGCUUUGUCAACAUCUAGAAAGGGAAAGAAGGCCGCAAGCGGUGCGACAUCGGGUCUCCAGUCACCUGUGUGGAUCCGGCCAUCGGAUCCCGAAGAUGACCAGGUACAGAGCGCAAUCUUUGAGAUAUCUAAGCUGAUGUCUCGAAUAGUUCAGAACAGUCAGUCGGAACCGCAGGAGCCAUCUUCACCUUAAUCUAAAAACAGAAGGUUUUCCUUUUGCUAGAUCUCUGAAAAAUCCGCAGUGGAGUAAGCGCUGGCAUUACCUACCUAGAUUCAGCAUAUGUAUUGGUUCGGUCGGUUAGCGUCGUGGGGCCGCUCUCUGGUUUUUGAAGUUUAUUGCAGCUGGCAAAGCCCCGCACUGAUGUUUUGAGUUCCAUCGUUCUGUGUGUGGAAAAUGCAGAAUUCUAUAGUUCUGUGGAACACCUGGUCUGUUCAUCUUGUAAUUUUCGUUUUGGAACUUAACUGUUGUAGGGUAGACAGACUCUAUACAUACUGAAGAAAUGUGCCCUUCCAUCAUCAUCAUUCCAUGGUUCAAAAAUACCGUCCGUUCUUUUCAUAUCAUCUGAAUGUUACUUGCACCCCUAUCCAUUGAGAUUUUUCGCUUUUUUGUUUGGGAGAAGCGCCGUGUUUUCGCCUCGGAUGAAGCGAGCAUCAAUACCAUAAACGAUCAGCGACGCUUGUGUUUAUUAAGAGCUGCUGAGUCUAUCAGCCAUGAGCUACCUGCUUGGCGUCUUCAUGGCGCUGGUUUCAUGAACGAUUUGAGACGCUUGGUGUCUUCCAGCCAUGAAUUAAUUAAUCGCUGAAUACAUCAUCUGGCAUCGUAUCGUAUCACGUCGAGCAUGAAGAGCACCUGCUUGGUGUUUUCAUGGCGCUGGUCUCCAUCAUGGACAGCUCUUGAGACAGAGAAAUGCCCUUGAGCACCAGGACGUCGUCGUCGCCGUCACCGUUGCCUCUGGCCGCCUCCAGCGGCUUCCUGGACACAGUGGCGUGGAUCUCCUCGAGCAGGCCGAGGAAGGCGGCCUCGACGUUGUCGCCGCUGAGCGCGGACGCCUCGUAGAAGAAGAGCCCCUGCUCCUCCGCGAAGGCCUCGGCCUCGUCGGCCCCCACCUCGCGGCGCCCCGGCGCAGCGGCGGCGAGGUCGGCCUUGUUGCCGACGAGCGCGACGACGAUGGACUUGUCGGCGUGGGCGCGGAGCUCGGCGACCCAGCGGGCGACGUGGGCGAAGCUGUCCCGGCGCGUGACGUCGUAGACGAGCAUGGCGCCCAGCGCGCCCCGGUAGUAGGCGCUGGUGACGGCCCGGUAGCGCUCCUGGCCGGCGGUGUCCCAUAUCUGGGCCUUGACGCGGCGGCCGGCGAUGUCGACGGUGCGCGUCUGGAACUCGAUGCCGAUGGUGGACUUGGAGUCGAGGCAGAACUCGCCCCGCGUGAAGCGCCCCAGCAGCUGCGUCUUCCCCACCCCCGAGUCGCCGAUCACCACCACCUUGAACACGUAGUCCUCCUCCAUGGCCCCGGCGAUCGGUCUGAACUCUGAAGGCAGACGCCGGCGGCUGCUGGCGUGAAGCUGCACCUGUAUAUGGCGGCCUGUAUCAGACGGACACUGGCUAGCUCAUGCGCGUAUGUCGUCUGACAUCCGUGCCUCUGCGUGUAUAUAAAUAUGUGGGUGACAUGGGGGAGAGCGAGAGUGGUUGAAACUUGAAAGGAGGGGGUUGCUCACUUGCAUCGCUGCUCUCACUAUAGUAGUAAUGGAGGUGUUGCUAGUAUUUGAUUGAUUUUUUGUACAUCUCUCUUGUGUUAUUUACUUUUUAAAAUACUAAAGAUCAGAUUUCGUGGUGGAGCAAGGAUGCCAAUUCUUCAAGAUCAAAAGUUCCGUGUUCU
This 3197-nucleotide ribosomal RNA is filed under the name Triticum aestivum (bread wheat). RNAcentral's name for it is "partial small subunit ribosomal RNA". Lineage: Eukaryota; Viridiplantae; Streptophyta; Magnoliopsida; Poales; Poaceae. The record is from RNAcentral.